Molecule: small RNA, 985 nt
Filed under: Drosophila mojavensis
Lineage: Eukaryota; Metazoa; Arthropoda; Insecta; Diptera; Drosophilidae
Description: GI25945
Source: RNAcentral
GCUGCUGCUGCUGCUGCUCGUGUAUGUAUGUGUUGCUGGCCAGCUGUUGAGUCUGCUUGGAUCCUGUUUAACUCCACAAAAAUAAUAGACAGAUAUAUGAAUGUACGUGCGCACGACAGCAUGUGUGUGUGUGUUGGUGUUAUAAAACGGCAUUUGCUUUGGCUUCGCUUUGCUGCGUACUUACAUACAUAUAUAAGCAAACAUACAUCAUAUGUAUCUAUAUACAUGUAUAUCCUGCAGAAUGUCUACCCUGUCACACAGUGGCGUUAAAUCAUAUGACAAUUUCCGCAAUCGAAUAAACAAAAUAAUUAACAAUAAGAACAGCUCUGAUAAUUAUUUGUAUAAAUAAUUACAUAUGUAUAUGUGUUAUAAUAACUUUUAUACGUCAAUUAUCUAUGCAUUGCCCACAGUGUGUGCUUCAUUGCAUACAAAACACAGCUGUAAUUGUUGUUGUUUUUAUUUGCGCUUACCAAUCCUUUACCCUGCUCAGAACACACGCACACACAGACACGGAGUCUCAAUCAUGCAUACACACAUAUCUGCGCAUUUACAUUCAGCACGUACACACACGCUCUAACACCAAUACAUAUGGCGAGGGUUCGUUGUGGACUCCAUUUGGCUUCGCUUGGGCACUUGAAUUGCCGUCACCUUCUUCAUCGUCGUCGUCGUCGUCUGUCUUUCCAGUACCUUCGUGCAGCGCAAUACGCGCGGUGUGUGUUUUGAGUCGCGCAGAGUUUCUUAUUUGCCGCCCGCUCGUUAAUUUUUUUGCAAUAUGUUGGCGCAGGUUCAGCGAAAACCCGUGCUCGGCCACAGUUCAACGUUUGUGUCACCUGCGAAAUAAAACAUGCAUUUUAAUCACUGCAAGCAAACUAAUUAAAAGCUAAACAACCAAUCUUAAAUAUAUUUAACGAAAAUAAGACACAAUGUGAGCAUGUAUUAUGUGAAACUUAGGAGUUAAGCGCGAAUUGUCUGUAUUAUUUAAAUU